RNAcentral lists this ribosomal RNA (521 nucleotides) under Enoploteuthis higginsi. RNAcentral's name for it is "partial 16S ribosomal RNA". It matches the Rfam family "Bacterial large subunit ribosomal RNA", at positions 1816 to 2599 of the family's 2925-position model. Lineage: Eukaryota; Metazoa; Mollusca; Cephalopoda; Oegopsida; Enoploteuthidae. The record is from RNAcentral.
CAUGUCUCUUUGUAUAUUAUAAAUAAAGAGUCGGGCCUGCUCGGUGAACAACAAAUGUUUUAACAGCUGCGGUAUUUUAACUGUACUAAGGUAGCAUAAUAAUUUGCCUUAUAAUUUGAGGCUAGAAUGAAUGGUUUGACGAAGGUUAGACUGUCUCUAUUCUAUUUUUCAGAAAUUAAUUUACAAAGUGAAAAAGCUUGUAUUUUUCAAAGGGACGAGAAGACCCUAAUUAGCUUUAAUUUUAUUAAUUUUCUUUAUUAUUAUAGAAAGAAGUUUAUAUAAAUUUUAAUUGGGGUGAUUAAAGGAAUAAAAAUAGAGUGUCAGUAACUUCCUUAAACUAAAUAUUGUUGAGUAAAUUAACCAAUAUUAUUGCUUAUAAUAGAGUUACCAUAGGGAUAACAGSGUAAUUUAUUUUGAGAGUUCUUAUUGAAAAAUGAGAUUGCGACCUCGAUGUUGGAUUAAAGUAACCUUAAGGUGCAGAAGCUUUAAAAGGUAAAUCUGUUCGAUUUUUAAAACUUUAC